CACAGCUCCUAUCCCAGCCUCGGAUGCGUCCACCUCCACUAUGAAAGCCAAAGAGGGAUCCGGAUUGGCCAGCACGGGAGACGAUGUAAACAGAGCACUCAGGUGACCAAAAGCCCUGUCCGCCUCAGCCGACCACUGCAAACGUACCGGGCCUCCCUUCAGCAGUGAGGAAAUGGGAGCCACUACCUGACCAAAACACCGGCUAAACCUCCUGUAGUAGUUGGCAAACCCUAAAAACCACUGCACCUCCUUUAGCGUGGUGGGAGUCGGCCAUUUACGCACGGCUGAAAUGCGGUCUCUCUCCAUCUCCACCCCUGAGGUGGAAAUGCGGUACCCUAGGAAGGAGACGGAUUGCUAAAAGAACAGGCACUUCUCAGCCUUGACGUACAGGUCACGCUCCAACAGGCGACCAAGCACGCUGCGCACCAGGGACACAUGCUUGGCGCGUGUAGCGGAGUAUAUCAGAAUGUCAUCAAUAUACACCACUACACCCUGCCCGUGCACGUCCCUGAAAAUCUCGUCUACAAAGGCUUGGAAGACUGAUGGCGCAUUCAUCAACCCGUACGGUAUGACGAGGUACUCAUACUGCCCUGAGGUGGUACUGAAAGCCGUCUUCCACUCGUCUCCCUCCCGGAUACGCACCAGGUUGUAAGCGCUCCUGAGAUCUAGUUUGGUGAAGAAGCGGGGAUGCAGGGAUUCAGUGACAUAUGUUUCCAUAGCUACCGUCUCCGCCUGUGACAGGGGAUACACGUGACUCCUGGGAAGUGCGGCGUAAACCAGGAGAUUUAUGGCACAAUCCCCCCGACGAUGAGGUGGUAAUUGAGUCGCCCUCUUUUUAGAGAAGGCGAGAGCCAAGUCUGAAUAUUCGGGAGGAAUGCACACGGUGGAAACUUGGUCUGAACUUUCCACUGUAGGAGCAUCAACGGAAACUCCUAAAUUCCUCCCCGAGCACUCUCGCGACCACCCCGUGAGAGUCCUCUGUUGCCAAGAAAUAGUGGGGUCAUGAAAAGCUAACCAGGGUAGGCCCAGCACCACGGGAAACGCAGGAUUGUCAAUAAGGAAGAGACUAAUUCAUGCGUCACCAUGCCCAGAGGAGCGGUGGCCUCCCUAAUCAACCCUGACCCUAAUUGUCGACUCUCUAAGGCGUGAACGGGGAAGGGCGCAGCCCCGAGAACAAUGGGGAUCCCUAAACUAUGGGCGAACAAUCUAUCUAUAAAAUUCACAGCCGUGCCUGAAUCGACAAGCGCCUUAUGCUGGGAAUGUGGAGAAACUUAGAAAAAUAACAUACAAAAACAUAUGUGCAACAGAGGGCUCCCAGGCUUACCUGGGGUGACGCCAGAGUGCCCUGCUUGCUGCCUCAAUCCCCAGAGGAACUGACCGGCAGUGUGACCUCUGCGGCCACAGAUGGCGCACGAGCUGGAACCUCCUCUGGUCUCCCUGCGCACCACACCUCCAAGCUCCAUGGGUAUCUGAGAGGUGGUGUGGGGGGAUGGAACCGACAGAACCCGAUCUUGACGUCCGCGGGUAGCCAGCAGGUUAUCCAGCCGGAUGGACAGGUCCACCAGCUGGUCGAAGGUGAGGGUGGUGUCUCUGCAGGCCAACUCCCGACGGACGUCCGCGCAAACUGCAAUGAUAAUGGUCGAUCAGGACCCUGUCGUUCCAUCCUGCGCCGGUGGCCAGGGUCCGAAACUCCAGGGUGAACUUCUGGGCGCUCCUCGUUCCCUGCCUCAGAUGGAAGAGGCGGACACUCGCCGCUCUACCAUCAGGCAGGUGGUCGAAGACUGCGAACUCCACGAAAUGGUCCAAAGCCGCAUCUCCCUCUCCCCACACGGCCGACUGCCGUUCGCCGCCCGAACAAGGAGAGGAGCCGACUUCGGGGGAGUCGUGAUACAAUUUUUUUGAGGAAGUGACAUGUAUAGGGGAGGCAAUCAAUGAUGUGAUAGAGUCCAGGUGAGUUCAAUGAAGCACUGGUGCGCUUAACGAUGGUGACAGGUGCGUAAUGAUGAGCAGCCUGGCGACCUCGAGCGCCAGAGAGGGGGAGUGGGAGCAGAUGUGACACCAAGUCCAUAUUAUGGCAAGAUCAGCUCAAAUAAGCAAAGAGGAAUGACAGUCCAUCAUUACUUUAAGACAUGAGGGUCAUCAAUACGGAAAAUGUCAAGAAUGUCAAGUGCAUUCGCAAAAACCAUCAUGCGCCAUGAUGAAACUGUCUUUCAUGAAGAUCACCACAGGAAAGGAAGAUGUCUUCACAAUUAUUCUACAAUGUAGAAAAUCGUAAAAAUAAAGAAAAACCUUGAAUGUCUAGGUGUGUCCAAGCUUUUGACAGGGAGAUAGGGGAAUGUUUCAGAUCUAUAAUCAAUGCAAAGCCAAAGGAAAGCCAUUCUGCGACUAGUUCCAUCUGGUCUGAUCCAUCUGGAGACGAUAGACAUCACAGCGCCUUACAGUCAGAUGCCGAGCAGUGAUGCAACCGGUCAGAAUGCUUUUGAUGGUGCAGCUGUAGAACUUUUUGAGGAUCUGGGGACCCAUGCCAAAUCUUUUCAGUCUCCUGAGGGGGAAAAGGUUUUGUCGUGCCCUCUUCACAACUGUCUUG
This is a long non-coding RNA of Oncorhynchus tshawytscha (Chinook salmon), 2587 nucleotides long. The record is from Ensembl. NCBI's taxonomy places the organism in Eukaryota, Metazoa, Chordata, Actinopteri, Salmoniformes, Salmonidae.